Molecule: ribosomal RNA, 495 nt
Filed under: Propionivibrio sp.
Lineage: Bacteria; Pseudomonadati; Pseudomonadota; Betaproteobacteria; Rhodocyclales; Rhodocyclaceae
Description: partial 23S ribosomal RNA
Rfam family: Bacterial large subunit ribosomal RNA
Source: RNAcentral
GAUCAAGCGAAUAAGUGCAUGUGGUGGAUGCCUUGGCGAUUACAAGGCGAAGAAGGACGUACAAGCCUGCGAAAGCUCCUGGGGCUGGCAAUGACUUUGAUCAAGGGUGUCCGAAUCGGACAACUCCCACAAGGAGUGUCACAUUCUGAAUACAUAGGGAUGAGGAAGCGAACCCGGUGUGAACGAAACAUCCAAGUAGCCGGAGGAAAGAAAUCAACCGAGUUUCCCAAAGUAGUGGCGAGCCGAAAUAGGAACAGCCUGCAAGUAAUAAUCAAACUGUUAGCGGGAAGCCUCUGGAAAGUAUGGCGCCGCUUCAGUGGGUAUAACGAAAGCCCCGUACGCGAAAACGGAUUGGUGGUACUAAGCUUGCGACAAGUAGGGCGGGGCACGAGGAAACCUUGUCUGAACAUGGGGACCAUCCUCAAGGCUAAAUACUCGUAAUCGACCGAUGAUGAACCAGUACCGUGAGAAGGCGAAAAAGAACCCCGGGAGGGG